GACGAACGCUGGCGGCGUGCCUAAUACAUGCAAGUAGAACGCUGAAGGAGGAGCUUGCUUCUCUGGAUGCGUCGCGCACGGGUGUGUAACGCGUAGGUAACCUGCCUGGUAGCGGGGGAUAACUAUUGGAAACGAUAGCUAAUACCGCAUAAUAGUAGAUGUUGCCUGACAUUUACUUAAAAGUUGCAAUUGCAUCACUACCAGAUGGACCUGCGUUGUAUUAGCUAGUUGGUGGGGUAACGGCCCACCAAGGCGACGAUACAUAGCCGAGCUGAGAGGGUGAUCGGCCACCCAGGGACAGAAACGAGGCCCAGACUCCUAGAGAAGGCACGCGGAGGGAAGCUUCGGCAAUGGACGGAAGUCUGAGCGAGAUACGCCGAAGGAGUGGAAAAGGUUGUCGGAUGGGAAAGAACUGUUGUAGGAGAAGAACGAGUAUGAGGGUGGAACGUUCACGUUGUGACGGUACCUUACCAAGAAGCAACGGCUAACUACGUG
RNAcentral lists this ribosomal RNA (495 nucleotides) under uncultured bacterium. RNAcentral describes it as "partial 16S ribosomal RNA". It matches the Rfam family "Bacterial small subunit ribosomal RNA", at positions 28 to 507 of the family's 1533-position model. The record is from RNAcentral.